This 71-nucleotide transfer RNA is filed under the name Dallia pectoralis (Alaska blackfish). Its description in RNAcentral is "tRNA-Thr". It matches the Rfam family "tRNA". From Rfam's summary of the family: Transfer RNA (tRNA) molecules are approximately 80 nucleotides in length. Their secondary structure includes four short double-helical elements and three loops (D, anti-codon, and T loops). The record is from RNAcentral. Lineage: Eukaryota; Metazoa; Chordata; Actinopteri; Esociformes; Umbridae.
GCACCAGAAGCUCAGAGAAGAGCAUCGGUUUUGUAAUCCGAAAGUCGAAGGUUAAAAUCCAUCCUGAUGCU